GGGGAUAUGGCGAAAUUGGUAGACGCUACGGACUUUUGUAGUAGGAGGAAAAUCCGUCGACUUUAGAAAUCGUGAGGGUUCGAG
Molecule: transfer RNA, 84 nt
Filed under: Nymphaea lotus
Lineage: Eukaryota; Viridiplantae; Streptophyta; Magnoliopsida; Nymphaeales; Nymphaeaceae
Description: tRNA-Leu
Source: RNAcentral